Molecule: ribosomal RNA, 443 nt
Filed under: uncultured bacterium
Lineage: Bacteria
Description: partial 16S ribosomal RNA
Rfam family: Bacterial small subunit ribosomal RNA
Source: RNAcentral
UCUACGGGUGGCAGCAGUGGGGAAUAUUGGGCAAUGGGCGAAAGCCUGACCCCGCAACGCCGCGUGAAGGAAGAAGGCUUUCGGGUUGUAAACUUCUUUUUUCAGGGACGAAGAAAGUGACGGUACCUGAGGAAUAAGCCACGGCUAACUACGUGCCAGCAGCCGCGGUAAUACGUAGGUGGGAAGCGUUAUCCGGAUUUAUUGGGUGUAAAGGGGGUGGUGGGGGGAUCGUAAGUCAGAUGUGAAAACGCAGGGCUCAACCCUGGGCCUGCAUUUGAAACUGUGUUUCGUGAGUGCAGGAGAGGCAAGCGGAAUUCGGGGUGUAGCGGUGAAAUGCGUAGAUAUACGGAGGAACACCAGUGGCGAAGGCGGAUUGCUGGACACUAACUGACGCUGAGGCGCGAAAGCGUGGGGAGCAAACAGGAUUAGAUACCCCAGUAGUC